AAAGUGAAAGUAGAUGGUGGUAAGUAUUUAUUUGAUAAUAGCUGGGACGAUCAUAGAUAUUUGGCGACAGGACAUUUUUUUCUGAAGCCCUCGUCCUUGUUUUCUAUUAAUUUUAGGAAAAUGAAUAAAAUGGAAAUAACGUACGUGUAUGAAAAAUUUGCCUUUCGCUAUCAAUAUCAAUUUGUCUUUCCACAGCGGUCACUGAUAUAUCAUGAUGUACGAUAAAAACAAAAAUUAUGUGAAACCUUCAUGGAUUUUUAUGAAAUUUGUGUAUGACCAAAUUACAGUAUCCAGAGUAAA
This 300-nucleotide long non-coding RNA is filed under the name Mytilus galloprovincialis (Mediterranean mussel). The record is from RNAcentral. Lineage: Eukaryota; Metazoa; Mollusca; Bivalvia; Mytilida; Mytilidae.